AAAGUGGCCACUUUUAUUUGGGCACGGAGAUUAAGGAGGAGAUAGUUAUGUUUAAUUAAUUGUGGUCCACCAAAAUUAAGGAUUUAAUUAAAACUUCUUCUUCCUCUCACUGCAUCUGGGCGACGGCGGCCGGCGCCGGCGGCCGGCCCUCGCCGUCCUCUAUCUGCCGUCGAACCGGCCGCCUAAAAUCAUCCCCAAAUCAGACUUUCCGGCGAUAGCAGAAAUCAUCCACAAAAAUCAGGGGGGGUUUUAGCCAAAUCAAUUCGACAAAAAAACAGCACAAAUCAUCCCAAAUCCACAAAAAAUUCAGCACAAAUCAUCCACAAAAACUAGGCAAACCGCAAGAAAUGAAGCAAACCAUCUCAAAUCUUGCAAAAAUUUUCAAGAAAUGAAGCAAAUCUCAAACUAAAAAUGAAGCAAAAUCUCAAAUCCCACGACGAUGUCGACUUCGACGGAAGUUACAGAGCGGCGGAGAGGCGGUGGUUUCUGAGACGAGAUCUAGGGCUCUUCCCGUGGGCGUUAUAGAGUAAGGCCUGAGAAGAGAGGCAACGCCGACUGGAGAGGCAGAGCGGCGGAGAGACGGCGUCGACUGGAGCGGCGUCGACCGACGGCCAAAUCGAUGGCGGCGGCAAAGCCCUAGCCCUAAAUCGGCGGCGGCAGCAGCAAACAGCUGACCCGCGCCUCCCUCCGAUUCGUAGACUUCCGACGGCCAAACCAGUGAAAACUCGCGCCGCCGACGAGGUAGGCGGCAGAGCCUUCAAAGAGAGAGAGAUAGAGAAAUCCGACGGCCAAACCAG
This 797-nucleotide long non-coding RNA is filed under the name Salvia miltiorrhiza (redroot sage). RNAcentral describes it as "long non-coding RNA (SMIL_LNC000901)". Lineage: Eukaryota; Viridiplantae; Streptophyta; Magnoliopsida; Lamiales; Lamiaceae. The record is from RNAcentral.